AAAACCCGAAAAAUUCGAUUUCGCUUUUUCGUGUCAGCAGUCGGCAGACAUAUUGGAUAGGCGGCCAAAGAAUAUUAAAUAUUCCUUGAUAGGCGGCAAUAAAAGUGGACUUCAUUCUUCAUCGUGAAGUGAGAAUCGAAGCCAGCUAACAAUCGCCAUGCCAGGCACGUCAGGUUCUCGCUACAGGUGGCAAUCCAUAGUCGCUGACCGAUGAUGCAGCAGCUGCCUAGGUCAGUUGGUACCAUCAAAAACAGAAGCCGCCGGAAGUGUAAGGUUCGAAUAAAUGUGACUGAAACCAUCUACCAUGAAGACUAACUUCAGUGGUUCCGCCGAGAUAGGAAGAAACGGAACAGCCAUAUAAGAUACAGUUUUUCAAUUUAUAAACUUUUUAAAUGAAAAUAAAUAAAUAAUACACCUAUCAUCAAAAA
This is a long non-coding RNA of Uranotaenia lowii, 428 nucleotides long. RefSeq lists it as uncharacterized. The record is from RefSeq and is a predicted model, not a curated record. The transcript is spliced from 3 exons. Lineage: Eukaryota; Metazoa; Arthropoda; Insecta; Diptera; Culicidae.